GGGAAAGGCGAAAAGAACCCCUGUGAGGGGAGUGAAAUAGAUCCUGAAACCGCAUGCAUACAAGCAGUGGGAGCCACUUCGUGUGGUGACUGCGUACCUUUUGUAUAAUGGGUCAGCGACUUAUAUUCAGUAGCAAGGUUAACCGUAUAGGGGAGCCGUAGGGAAACCGAGUCUUAAUAGGGCGUUUAGUUGCUGGGUAUAGACCCGAAACC
RNAcentral lists this ribosomal RNA (212 nucleotides) under Acinetobacter schindleri. RNAcentral's name for it is "partial 23S ribosomal RNA". It matches the Rfam family "Bacterial large subunit ribosomal RNA", at positions 507 to 722 of the family's 2925-position model. The record is from RNAcentral. Lineage: Bacteria; Pseudomonadati; Pseudomonadota; Gammaproteobacteria; Moraxellales; Moraxellaceae.